This 73-nucleotide transfer RNA is filed under the name Ailuropoda melanoleuca (giant panda). It matches the Rfam family "tRNA". Rfam says of the family: Transfer RNA (tRNA) molecules are approximately 80 nucleotides in length. Their secondary structure includes four short double-helical elements and three loops (D, anti-codon, and T loops). Lineage: Eukaryota; Metazoa; Chordata; Mammalia; Carnivora; Ursidae. The record is from Rfam by way of RNAcentral.
UCCUGGCUGGCUCUGCUGGUGGAGCGUGUGACUCUGGAUCUCUGGGUUGUGGGUUCGAGCCCCGUGCCAGGCG